UGGAAGUUGAAAAUGACAGACUGGAAUCAUGAUAUAUUAUUGGUAAUAAAAGUGCGGUAUCCCACUGCACAAACAUUCCAACUUGCAAAAGCAAUCAAGUGAGCUGAUGCUCCAAAUUACUAUUUGGAAGCAUAAAUCCUUUUCUUGGAAUAAAGAGCUUAAAAUGUUUUGUGAAGUAAACUUAAAAAGGUAAGAUUAUAAUUGAACUCAUAAAAACUGUGUUCAAAAUAGUUGUUUCUGAAAGGCUGUACUUGGAAGUAUGGGGUUGAAACAGCACAAUAUUGGUUUUGAAACCUCAACAAGCAAACUAACAUAAAUGGAAAUUAUAUCCUUUGUUUGGGCUGGGAAGAGGGUUUGAGUUGUCAAGGAGUGAGCAAAUGCAGUUCAUUCAGAGAAAAACGCACUGCCAAAAGCUGGAAAAUUAUGGCAUGUGUCUAUCAUCUAGAUGAUGAUAUUGAUGGCAGCAGUAGGUGGUGUUUCAAGAGGAAGCAAUUGGAAAUUAAGCACCAGAGUCAUGUAUCUGGUUGGGGCAGUCACCCCACAUUGACUUGUGCAAAUGGUAGGAUUUUGCUGGUCCUGCCAGUUGCAA
Molecule: unclassified non-coding RNA, 589 nt
Filed under: Hevea brasiliensis (rubber tree)
Lineage: Eukaryota; Viridiplantae; Streptophyta; Magnoliopsida; Malpighiales; Euphorbiaceae
Source: RNAcentral